This 560-nucleotide ribosomal RNA is filed under the name uncultured bacterium. Its description in RNAcentral is "bacterial SSU rRNA". It matches the Rfam family "Bacterial small subunit ribosomal RNA", at positions 338 to 916 of the family's 1533-position model. The record is from RNAcentral.
CCUACGGGAGGCAGCAGUGGGGAAUCUUAGACAAUGGGGGCAACCCUGAUCUAGCCAUGCCGCGUGAGUGAUGAAGGCCUUAGGGUCGUAAAGCUCUUUCGCCUGUGAUGAUAAUGACAGUAGCAGGUAAAGAAACCCCGGCUAACUCCGUGCCAGCAGCCGCGGUAAUACGGAGGGGGUUAGCGUUGUUCGGAAUUACUGGGCGUAAAGCGCGCGUAGGCGGAUUAGAAAGUUGGGGGUGAAAUCCCGGGGCUCAACCUCGGAACUGCCUCCAAAACUCCUAGUCUAGAGUUCGAGAGAGGUGAGUGGAAUUCCGAGUGUAGAGGUGAAAUUCGUAGAUAUUCGGAGGAACACCAGUGGCGAAGGCGGCUCACUGGCUCGAUACUGACGCUGAGGUGCGAAAGUGUGGGGAGCAAACAGGAUUAGAUACCCUGGUAGUCCACACCGUAAACGAUGAAUGCCAGUCGUCGGGUAGUAUACUAUUCGGUGACACACCUAACGGAUUAAGCAUUCCGCCUGGGGAGUACGGUCGCAAGAUUAAAACUCAAAGGAAUUGACGG